AGCAAUAAAACGACUUGGCAAUUUCGCGCGCGCGCGCUCUUCAUCUCUCUUGCAGAAGACAACCUUCGAACUAAAAUCUGCUCUCUUUCUCUCUAUCUCGCCGACUCACUCACCUUCCGUCCAACUCAUUAUUACCGCCGGCGGAUGUUUCCGGCGACAACGACGAUUUCUACGGUGAAAAGGAUCACAGUGGCUAGAGCGGGAUCCAAAUUCCCACUGCUCCCUCCCUCUUUCUCCGACUCACGCUAGAUGGAAAAGAACCUUCUCUCUGUGAUAUCUUCUUCGCGCUCUCAUUCUUGCUCUCCGACUCCCUCUCUCUCGCGGGAUUACUCUCCUUCUGGCAAUCGCCCUUCUUGAUUUCUCCAACCAAAUGUUAGCGAUGACUUAUGAAUUGCCAGUUUUAAUGUGUUGCUGUUGGUUAUAUGUGAUUAUGUUUUCUAUGAAAUCGAUCGUGAAUGGCUAGGUAUCGAUCGAGAACGAAGUGGACUUGAGAAGGAUUAGGAAGUUUUUAAGUUUUCAAAGGACCGGCAGGGAUAUAAAGUUCGUUCUAUCCUCGCGAGGUUUUUCUAUAAUCAGAUAUAAAGACAACAUGUAUCAAAAGUUUGGAGAUGUUGGGACGAAUAAUCAAGAAGCUGGUGGAUGAUUUCUAACAGAUUCUCGGAAGUAACCUGGACAUACGAACAUAAGGUCUGUAUGAAAUAAAGUUUAAAAUUAUCUGUGGAUAUUUGUGGAGGCUCAACGAUGAAGAUCACAGUGUCAGUAAUUAUUUUUCAGUGUAUCUUUUAUUGCCGAAAGCACGGCCAUAUUUGUUCAUAGUUAUUCAAGGUAUGGAAAAAUGCACUAUAAUGUUUUGAACAUGUAGCAAUUGUGACAGAAACUAGUAAAACAGUCGAGGUGCGGAAACGUGUUUAAGUUUCACAGAUAGAACAUGAAUUGGCGUGCACAUUGGUGGUCACCAAUAUUUAUUUAACCAAAGUUUACUAUAUAUGGAAUCACGAAACUGCACUUCUACUAUUAUUACUUGUUAUUUAAAGUUUUUUGUUGUCAUUCACCCAGAUGUUUAUCUCAACACAAUACUAAGGAUUAUAAUCUGCUUCUAUUGGUCCCUUCAGGGACAUCGGAUAACACGGUUCUACUGUUAUUGAAGGAAGGAAACACAUGUUAGUCAAAGGUCAUAUCAGUUUUUAUUUGUUUGUAUCAGGCUACACUAUGUUUUGGUGCAGCUAUGAUGACUAGAAGUUCUUUCUAUAAGAUGUUAGAUGUUUAUUUUCUCUUAAUACAACGUUCAAACAUCUUUUGAUAAUACUUUUGCUUUUUACGUGCCCUUGGCCUAUCUAUCAAAAUUUUGGAGCAACCACAUCAACAUGGCGUGCUAUUGAUCAAAUUUGAGACGAUUGAUUGAUUAGCAAUCGUGCUUGCCCAGGAUGGAUCAAGAAAGCAUCAAGGAUUUUUCCUCACUCGAAGUUCGAACAUGCGACUUCUGGGUAGCAUUACUCAAAGACCACGUGCAUUCACCAACAAUGGGAGAGCCCCUUGGGGACUUUGAACUUUUGCUUCUCAAUUUUGAAGUUUUCGAGCAUUUUGGACUGUUUUAUAUAUGGCUAUAUUUUAGACCUACUUAUCCAUGAUGUCUUUCUCUUACCAUUUGAAAAAGUUGUCUUUUCAUCUUAUUCUGUGUUUGACUGUUUGUUGGACGAUUCAUUCUUUGAGACUGUUGUAGUAACGUAGGUCAAACUUCUCUGUUUUAGCUAGUGGGUCGGACAAAUUAUCUUGAUGUGCUCAACAAGAAGUCAGAGGCGUGUUCCCCCCUAAUUCGAUCGAGUAAAGAAAUACCUAAAAUUGUGAUUCUGUUCUAGCUUCUCUUCCUUUAUAGAAGAAAAGGUAUUUCUAGUUUGCAUGGUCCAAUCACUGACCCAAAAAUUUAUACUUUAGAAGUUGGGAUUGUAGAUUUCUCGUGUGAAAUUGUGAUGAUCUUCCAUGCAUAGUUUGGUGAAACAACUACCAUUUGCAUGAUUUAGAGAUGCAUUAAGUAUUUUUCUCUUGGCUUCUUAAUUGAGGGUAGGUCAUGGAAAAAUGUGCAUCUCAACUCUCUUUAUCAUUUGUGUAGUGAUUGUUGAACUAAGCAGUUUCUCGUUAGGAAUUUCAUAAAAUUUUCUACUUCAUUUACUAUAUUGUUAUUUUGAAGAUCGAUUAGUCUGGUGUGUGUAGCAUGCAGUAACUUGUUAGAACAAUAAUUUUGUGUAAGGUAUAAAUUCAAAAAGGCAUUCAAAUGGUUGGUCUACUAUUUCAUUAAUAGUCAAGCUUAAAAUAUAUUUUUGAGAAUUUGAUAUGCUUUUUUAGGAAUUAGUUUGCUUGGUGUCUGGAUUUCCUGCUAUAUUUUAUUUUUUAAAGAUAUAAUGUUGUGCUCUAUUGUGUGUCCAGAAAGAAACUUUUGCAUUUCUUCUCUUGGCCUUCAAUUGUUUUUUUUUUAUAAGAAUCUGUUGGCCUUCAAACAAAAGGCUUGUUAUUUGGUACGAAAGGAAUAUUGAUGUUGCCAAGUGGGUAACCGGAGGCAACCAUAUAUAUGUAUACUGAGUUUCAUUAAUAUAUGUUUGUUAUUUCAAAACAAUCAGUUGACUCUUUCAUACAUUCAAUUCCAGGAGUGGCAUCAUUAUUCAUGUUUUAUAUAUUUCAAGCACUAUAAUUAUAGAUUAAGAAUCUUAUAAAAUAUUUUUUAUUAUGUAUUUGAUAGUAACUGAUAGGAGGGUGAUCCUUUGACUCCCCUAUCAAAUCAAUGGACCUAUCAAAUUUUUGGAUCACAGAUUUUCUUUUGGUUAUUUGUAAUUAUGUUUUCUAGGCAAUGGUUCCUGAAUUGCUAAGUAUUCAAGAAAACAGAGUGGACAUGAGCCUGAGAAGGAUUGAGAAGUUUUCAAUGGAUUAGCAGGUAGAAAGUUAAUUCUAUUCCACGCUGUAUUAGAAUAUAUCUUCCGUUAGAUAGUUAAGCUUAUUCACCAUUCCAACAACGUUCAAACAUCUCGUGACAGCACUUAUGCUUCUAUAAAAAUUUUGGAGCAAUUAACAUUAGCGUGCUGUAUGAGUGGUUAGUUGAUGAGUAUUAUUUGUUAUCGUCUGCAUGACCACCUUUGAUUGGGUGCUUUUUGGGAAGUCACAAACAUUUUAAACGAGAGCAUUUUUACAUAGACCAUUUACGCCUAGUGUUGUUGUAUACUUUGCGAUACAAGGAGAGCCACGGCCAACUGAUGCAGCAUUCGAUGAAUUGGCUUCUUGAUCUGCCAAGUAUAAAACAAGGUAAUGUGUAUAUUGAAGCACCAUUUUUAUCAAUUUCGAAUUUUUUCAUCUCUAUUUGAAGUUUUCAAGCAUUUUAGAUUGUUUUAUAUAUUGUAUAUAUUAAAGACCUUGAUGAUCCAUUAUGUCCAUCUUUCUCGUACAAUUUGAAAAGGUUUAUGCCUUUUAAUCCUCUUUUAUGUUUGUUAGAUACGGGUUAUUUGAGAUGUUUGUAGCAAUGUAGCUCAAACUUCAAUUGGAAAAAUUAUCUUGGCCGAAAGAAACACCUAGAACCUUGAUUUUUAAUCUAGCUUCGAAAGUUGGGAUUGUAGAUUUCUCAUUUGUGAUUUGUCAGAUUGUUUGAUCUUUAAUAUGUGGUGGAAUUGCUGUCUUUGGCAUGAUUCGGUAUAGUAUUUUCCCUUGGCUUAUCAUUUGAGGCUGGUCAUGGAAAAAUGUGCAUCUCAAUUCUCUUUUCAUUUGUUGGUGAUUGGUGAAAUAAGCACUUUCUGAUUAGGUUUUUCAGAAAACUUGAUACGUUGGAAAAUCUGUAUGUGAAGUUUCUGCCUCAUAUGACUCCUCUAUUAUGGAUAAUGAAAUUAUAUGUUUGGUUGCUCCCCCCUCACUUGAAAAAUAGGACAAGGAAUCCUCAUCUAAAAUGGAGUCGUUUCUGGAUGCUAAAAUACUCGUCAUCCUCAUUAUUGAUCAUAUUUGUUAGUUGUUUCAUUUGGAGGAAUGAGUGACGAGGGAAAGAGUGUGAUCAAAGGACAGCAAGCAAGAUUCUAGCACGAGAAGAAAAGGAUGAUCUGGAAUAAGGAUGACAUGAGGAUUUUUGUAACAAAGUGAGGGAAAGUGCAUAGUUAAGGAUGAGGACGGAAACAUACAAGAUUCUAGCAUGGGAAACGAGGACAAGCAAGAAUAAGGACGACUAAUCAAGAGAGAGUCUGGUCAAGCAUGAGGUUGACAGCAAGAAAUAUUCUAGCACGGGAAAUGUAGACGAUUAAGAAUGAUGACAACAACAAACAUUUUGUUAUCAAAGCAAGGAAAGAGCCUAAUCAAGCAUGAGGUUGACAGCAAGAAAUAUUCUAGCACGGGAAAUGUAGACGAUUAAGAAUGAUGACAACAACAAACAUUUUGUUAUCAAAGCAAGGAAAGAGCCUAAUCAAGAAUGAGGAGGACAGAAAGCAAGAUUAUAGCACGAGGAUUGGGAAUAGCUUGUCAAUGACUGCAAGAGAAGUGCCAAGUCCUCAAGUCUAGAAGAACAAACGGCAUCGUCAUCAAAUUUUUUAACAGGACUGAGGCGGCCAUGACUCUAGAGUUAACUUCAUCUGCCUAACGCUACAGGUUAGAAUGGUGUUUCAGCAUUAUAUUGACCAUAUUACCUCUUGAUGAGUCGAUAACUUUAGGUUUAAAUUCAUUAUACUCUAUCUAGCUAGAUCUAAUAGAACUUUAUGAGCUUCUUCCUCCACUUUGUUUGACUUUUUAUGCACUAUUAGACCAUAAUAUUUUCUUUUGCUAUAGGCGGAUAUGUGGAAAGUAUAAUAAGAAGAAUAAUAUUUAGAUGUUUAUCCGUGAGUAGUUAUCUUUAUCACCAUUCAAAUAUUGACAGUUAGGAGAGAUGGAUGCAUAAAGGAAGAGAGAGAAAAUAUAAUUUUCUUUUUUUAUAUAUAACUGUCAAUUUUUUAAUGGUGGUGAGCAAGAAGAUACCUACCUACCUACUCACAGGUAAACACCUAAAUAUUAUCAUAAAAGAAUAGGAGAAUUUUAUUUUUAAAACUUGCUACUUGACCGAGUGACUCAAUCUUUUACCAUUCUUCUUUUACCUUCACCAAAUUGAAUCCUAAAUUUGGUUAAGUGGUAAAACUAGAUGAAUUUAGGAAGACUUUUGAGAGAACAUUUAUUUUGCAUGUACUUUUAGUACUUUGCUUAUAUAAGAAUCCAUUUUUAAAUGGUCUAAAACUUUAAACAAGUAAUUUUAAUGGGUUAAAGGCACUCUAGUUUUGGGAAGUUAUUAAUUAGUUUAGUUCAAAGUUGACUCACCAAACCACAUAUAAGGGUACAAAUUUUCAAUAUUUGAACCAAGUGAUUUCUGUGAAUCCUAUUUCUUGUCAUUUUCAAUAUUCCAUGUCCUUCAUCCCAUUUAUUUGAUAUUUUCCUUUGACCCUCUUGCAUUUUUACUGACUGACUGCACUAUGAUUUGCCAACAAGUUAACUUUUUUAUGUCAAAAAGUCUGAAUAAAAAAUAAAUGAAUAUU
Molecule: non-coding RNA, 5516 nt
Organism: Momordica charantia (bitter melon)
Lineage: Eukaryota; Viridiplantae; Streptophyta; Magnoliopsida; Cucurbitales; Cucurbitaceae
Source: RefSeq, a predicted model, not a curated record